This 473-nucleotide ribosomal RNA is filed under the name Pseudomonas sp. oral taxon B99. RNAcentral's name for it is "bacterial SSU rRNA". It matches the Rfam family "Bacterial small subunit ribosomal RNA", at positions 30 to 497 of the family's 1533-position model. Lineage: Bacteria; Pseudomonadati; Pseudomonadota; Gammaproteobacteria; Pseudomonadales; Pseudomonadaceae. The record is from RNAcentral.
AUUGAACGCUGGCGGCAGGCCUAACACAUGCAAGUCGAGCGGUAGAGAGAAGCUUGCUUCUCUUGAGAGCGGCGGACGGGUGAGUAAUACCUAGGAAUCUGCCUGAUAGUGGGGGAUAACGUUCGGAAACGGACGCUAAUACCGCAUACGUCCUACGGGAGAAAGCAGGGGACCUUCGGGCCUUGCGCUAUCAGAUGAGCCUAGGUCGGAUUAGCUAGUUGGUGAGGUAAUGGCUCACCAAGGCUACGAUCCGUAACUGGUCUGAGAGGAUGAUCAGUCACACUGGAACUGAGACACGGUCCAGACUCCUACGGGAGGCAGCAGUGGGGAAUAUUGGACAAUGGGCGAAAGCCUGAUCCAGCCAUGCCGCGUGUGUGAAGAAGGUCUUCGGAUUGUAAAGCACUUUAAGUUGGGAGGAAGGGCAUUAACCUAAUACGUUAGUGUCUUGACGUACCGACAGAAUAAGCACCGCA